Molecule: long non-coding RNA, 6750 nt
Organism: Artibeus jamaicensis (Jamaican fruit-eating bat)
Lineage: Eukaryota; Metazoa; Chordata; Mammalia; Chiroptera; Phyllostomidae
Exons: 6
Source: RefSeq, a predicted model, not a curated record
UGAGAGGCCCCCCGCCGCGACAGGCCCAGGCUGCCCGGGACAGGCUGAGACCACCCACCCACGCCACCCAGCCACCUCUGGCAACGUCAAUUAGCAGGGGCAGGGGGAUCUGGCCAAUGUGACCACGACGCGAUCACUAACCAAUAACUUUGAGAUGACCUAGUGCAGCUAAUGUUUAGUCUCUCUGAACGCAGGAUUUACAGAAUCUGCAGUUCCUUAGCACAAAGCAACGUCUUUCUAAGGAUGCAACUGGAACCACUGCGUGGCCCAAGGAAAUACGAUUCACGGUCGGCCCCGGGAGAUCAGUGGCCACCACCCCCAUGAACGCAGGACGCUUGAGAUCCACACCGCAGAAGUAACUCCAGCUGUGCCCAGCUUCCCACUUGCUCUCGGUGCUGGGGUGGCUGGCUGCUUUGGUGGGGGAGGAGGGCAAUGUCUGUGUUUCUCUGAGACGAGGAGUGACACUCGGUGCGUGCAGCCGGAGGGGCCCCGCCCCGGCCCUGUGCCCUCCCACCCCUGUGGCAGGCAGGAAGGAGCCUGCUGGGCUGAGGGCUUUGGCAGGGCCUCCUCUGUUUCCUGCUCUUGGGGCGGCCAGGGUGGCAGGGGGCGGGGCGGCGUGGGCUGCCGGAGGACGGAUCCAGAGGCCAGGAGAAGCCGGCCCCGUGUCCUGACGGCUUCAACCAACGAGCACCAGUGUUUGGACAACAAGAGCUCCAAGGCCCCUCGGAGGAGAGCCUUCCGUGGCGCCGGACCACGCGGAGGAGGGUGUGCAGGGAGUGGCGGUGUCUGCCAAGAGGCUGGUCGGUCCGCGCCCGCGUGGCUCCUGCUCUGCUGGGCACUCGGAGCAGCGCCCGACAGCAGAGCCGUGAGCACCGCGGGGUGAGACUGGAGCUGAAGUCCUGGGAACCCACUUCCCCCUCUGCAGCCUAAGAUCCCUCAGACUCACACGCAGGCUCGAAAACGAACAGGCAAGGCCUGCGCGCAGGGCAGAGCGGCUGGAGGAAGGGAUCACGAGAAGCCGGCUCCUUCUGUGCAAAGUCACCGUAACCGAGUAAGAGAGGCACACCCUUCCAGAACCAGCGACCACACCAUCCCGCUGCGGACACCGGCGGACAUGACUUCCCAGCUGAUAGUCCCACGGCCUCCUCCCUCGAGGGGCCGUCUCCCCACCCGCCGCCUCCCCCUGCACCCUCCACGCCCGCCACACCGGACGGCGUGGCGCUCCCCAGCGAGCCUGGCCCACCACUGGACCGCGGUGCCUCUCCUCCUAGCGAUGAACCCUCACGGCCCUCGCUCAAGACGCAGGGUUACAUCGAACAUGGAGCCCUUCGGACUCCCUGUCACCCCACCCCGCCCCACCCGUAGGCGCACCAGGGUCCCCCCUGCACCCACGAGGGUCCCUGUCACAGUCCUGAGGCCCUGGACCUUGCCGACCCUUGUGUAGUUAUUUCACCAGGUGCUGGUGCCCGGAGGGUCCCUGGCACCUGCGAGGCCCUCGAGGCAUGUCUGAGGGAUAAAGGAACAACCUGACAGCCACUGGCUCGUCUCAGGGACAGGUGGAGGACAAGCGGUGACACCCGUGGGAAGGGAGGGGCACGUGGGGAGGGACAUCGGGGGACAGGAGCAUCGGUGGCAGCCGGCUGCGGGUGCCGCUUGCUUUUGACCUCCCGGAGCUUUACUUCGUAGUGUUUAUCUGGAAGUGAGAUGCUGCCUACCUCUCGUCUAUCACCGAUUCUGUGGUUUCUACGCUGCCAUGGCAACCGUGGCCUGGGACAAACAAAACAAAGAGAACGACAGCUUUCCUCCGGGAGCCACAGAAGAAAAACCAGCUCUGCGGUGCCGCCUCGCUGGGCCCUGAGAGUUUGAGACACGCAGUCCCGGGGAACCAGGAUGAGGAUCGUGGCCAGCCUGUCAGAUCUAACACCCUAGGGAAGCCCACCCCGGGCUCACGGCGCACGGACACGCCGAGGGUCCGGACCCGCCUCCACCUCCCCCUGCACCACGAGGCCUUCUGCUGGCUCGGCGCGGGCGCCGGGUUUCUUGCUGCCCCUUGAACACAUCGCGCCUUCCCCCCCUGCAUUCGGAGUCAACAUUAGGGCUGCCUUCAUCCUCGAAUGCUCUCUCGGAGGGUGUUUACAUGACUCCUCUGUCCUUCGAUUGGUUCAAGCUCAAGCGUGACCUUCUCCUACGGGUCUUCCCAGACAGACCUGCCACACAUAGCCCUUCCUUACCAGUCUUCGCGGCCCGGCUUUGAGUUCCCCUUCCCUGUCACCGACCACUACGAGUUCCUCUCCUUCUCCCACUCUUCCACUCACACGUGCGUUUGUCUUUGUCCCUGCAACAUGAGAUCCACGGGUGGGGGCGUUUUUUCAUGAGCCUCUCACGUUUCCAGUACAUUCGUCUGUAGAGCAAACACCCUGGAAAAUAGAGACAGAGUUUCUCCCCGGGGACAAAGAUCAGGACAGGCCAUCGCACGCGACAGAAGAUGGGGGUCCCCUCGGCGCAAGGCUUCCCACGAGGCCGGGAAUCCACAAGGUUGUUUUCAGUGUCUCUCGGAUCCUCGGCCGUCCGAAGAACGUUCGAGUCACAGGCCCAUGCGUGGCUAAGGCUGGCGGAUCGGCGGGUGAGCCUGGGGUGCCAAUCCGCCUGCAUUAACCUAAGUGUAUUUUUAAAGAGAUAAAACCACUCAUUUGUAUUAGUAAUAAAGGCAAAUGCACCCGACGACACUCCUAAAGGUAUUCUGUCGCUGAAUUCUGAUAGUUCACACUGCAUCUUCUCAUUCAAGUGCAUCAUAAUUUUAGAGGUGAUAGUAUCUGUUUUCAUGGAUGAAUGGUCUACAGCUGGGAGUGGUUACUACCUUCAUUUUUCACCCUCCAAAUGUUUAUUGAGCACCUCUUACGUCCAAAGGAUGGUGUUGCCUGCAAUGGAGUAGACGAGGAAGUGUAUCCUGAUGAGGCUCGGACACAGUACGUGCCUUUCGGAGAAGAGAGUGUCUGGUCGGGAAACGCUACUUUGUACAGAUUUGAGAAACAGACUGAGGCCACAUCUCCGGGAAGGAGUCCAACAGAUUAGCGAGUGCCCGUGAAGCUGAGACCCAAGGCCGCUCUGGACCAAGCUGGGAAGCCGGGAGAGUUUGUCAUUGGCUUGCCUCCUCCGGCAACACUGUAGAAGGGAACACAAUUCUUGCAUUGGUACCGACUGCUCCUGAGUGCUGAUUCUUGAAGCGCCCACUGUCUGCUCAUCCAUAGCUAAUCUGAUUGAUAAACAAACAGCCCAAAAAUCAUACUGUAAUGAGCUGCUUUUCUCUGGUAUUACGUGGUUAAAGUUGGUAGCCUGGGGCCGGCCCGAAACUCUCAGCCAAAGCGAUUCAGACAGUGGGAAUUUUGUUCACCACGACCCGCUUGUCCCCAAAAUACACUCUCCGCUGCGUGUUGCUAGGUGUUCACUGUCUCCUUCGGAUUCACAGAACGUUGAAGGUGAAAAGGACCUUGGAAGCCUCCUCACCUGACAUCCUCGUUUUGAAAUAAGAAAACUGAGGUGUAGAGAAGUAAAAACAUUUAGCAAGCAACUAAAAAAGCAACCACAACUCCUCCGAGGUCAGGCCUCCGGCCAGAGGCAGGCUCCCGGCACCAAGCUACAGGAGACUAAAUGCGGUCUCUUGAUGUAACAGCCCGAGUUCUUAGCAAUUUAAAAAAUCAUCACUUAUCUAUUGUUCUAAAAUAGCUCACUCUCUAAUUAAGAACUCGUGUCAAAGUGAUGGUUAGUGGGUCUCAUUACAUGAAAAACAACCCUGAAUAUUAAUUAUGAAGCAAUUAUACAGUAGCAUUUUCUCUCAAGUUACAUCAAAGAGAAGGCAAUUUCCACGCUAUUAAACAGAAACCCCAGUGGUGGCGUGACUGGUCUGGGGGACGCGCUCGGACCGCUGGCGUCCCCCUGCCGCCUUCGUCCUGAGCCCCAGCUCCCUUCGGGGGGCCCUUAUUCCAAACAACAUCCCCCCUGUGUCCGUCUGGAACUAGGAAAUUAAUCCACACUCGAGUCCUCAAAAAUGUCCCCAGUAACUCAUCUGCAUACAGAGAAACAGGGCAUCUAUCGCCGAGCACUUUCCAUCUGGCUGGGAAGCCUGGGACAUGGGCUCCACCCAAGGGCAGCGGGGUGAGCCCUGGCCAGGCGGCUCCCGUGGUUGGAGCGUCAUCCUGUGCACCAAAAGGUCACGGGUUCGGUGUCUGGUCAGGGCACAGACCUAGGUUGUAGGUUUUAGGGUGCAUACAGAAGGCAACGGAAUCAAUGUGGUUCUCUCUCUCACCCCCCACAACUUCCUCUUUCUCUGAAAUCAACAAACAUACUCUCAGGUGGGGAUUAAAAAGAGAGAGCCAGGGUGGGGGGGUUAGAUGCCCACUCAUUUGUCUCUGCAGGAGUUUACGAGCCGAUCUGUCCACCUUGGAGCAAAUAAUAGCAACAGUCCAACAAACGAGCCGCCAAGCUUUGGACUUGCCUCAAGCCUCUGCCUGGCAUUUCCCCUCCCCUCCGACCGAGUACUGACGGUGCUGACCUUUUCAGGAAUCUGCUUCUGACAACAGCGGGGCAGCGGCCGAGUUCCAAGGCUGCAGCCCGAGGUGGGCAGGCCACGAAGGUCACUGCUGCUUCAAACCUAAGAGCGAUCGGGGGCCCGGGAGCAGCCAAGGCCGAGUCGGGGGAAGAGCCCCGCUGCCUCCCCGACACCGCGGUGCCCCUGCCGUCCCCAGUGGGCUCUCUUCCUGGAGUCUGCAGACUCAGCUGCCCGUUGGGGCCUGCGGACGCCGAGAGAGUGCUGUCGGGCAUUUCACCGUGACAUCGAGUCUUAGGUUUGAAAGAGGCCUUACCUCUCAUGUCCUCAAACUUCCAAGAGUAGUGUGAACUCAGGGCCUGCUUAGAUGCUCCCAGGGGAUGGGGAGCUCAGUCCCUGGCACAGUCGAGCGAGGAUUCCGGCCACCUGCAUGCAGAGGGCGUCUGAGACACCCUCGGCUGCCACCUCCAGGCCGCCUGCAGUGACCCGACUACUGACAUCCUAACCUGGCCCUUCGGAGCUGCGUCUCGGAGCUGCUUGCUCACGCCUAGCACACCGCGGACAACAGACCUCACCGCCCGCGCUCGCUGCGGUCCGCACAUAAACGCCGAUGUCCCAACUUCCUUACAAACUAGCAGAACCACUGGCCGCAUCGGCAUGUACACCCCUCGUGACCCUCAUGUGUCUCGUUCUUUCGUUCUUUAACAGCUGACUGACAAGCAUAAUAAAGGAGUCUGUUCUAAGGAACUGAUGAUUAACAAUGAUCAAUCAUGGUAACUCCCCCCAAAUAACAUGUUUGCCCAUUUGCUGGUUUCUUCAACCUUCAACUCUAAGCAGUCCUUACAGUGGGAAGGGCAGGUCAGUGCGUAAGGCGCGCGGGCUGGGCUUGCCGCCACAUUCCCGAAACCUCCCCGCACCCCUCUCCUGGCCCGAGAGUCCGAGACCACCCUGCCGGGAUCUCUGACCAGCUCCGAGGGGACUCAAGGCGGCACUCUGCCCCGGGGAAGAUACGGCGCUUCCGCAGAGGCCUGCCGUCCAGCCGGAUCCCGACUCCGCUAAAUGGACUGUAUUUGUGGAAAUGCGUCCACGACCGCACAUAAGCAUUUCUGCCGCUGGGAGGCUCCACCUACACGAUGACUCCGAUUCCUAGGUUCACCCUCUGAUGGGAAAGCUCGCGCCUCAAAGAGACCAUGAACCAACCUCAGAACAGGGCCGCCUGCCCUUGCUGGACGUGGACCAGACGUUGGGGCAGGAAGACAGGAUGUGUCCAGCCUGUUCUGGCUGCUGUAACAAAACAACACAGACCCAGUAGCUUAUCAACAGCAGGAAUGUAGUCCUCCCCGUCCUGGAGACUGGAUGCCCAAGACCAGGCUGCCGGCGUGGAUGAGCGAGGGCCCUCGUGGGCUGCCAACUCCAGAACCCAGAGACAUUGAACUUCUGUGGUCUAAGCCGCCCUGUCCCGGCAGCCCCGGGAGAGGAAGACCGCAGGUGAACUUGAGGGAACAGGCUCCGGAGGGAGACUCUGGCGCUGGUGUGCUGUGCUCGGGACACAUGGAGGCAGGGACCCGGGUUUCCGGAGAGCGCCCCGCAGAGCUCCGCGCUGUGGGGAGGACUCUUCCUUUCCCAGAUGCCAGCAGCCCCACCCUGCACCCGGCCUGAGGGCACAUUUCUCUGUUGCCAUGACAACAGAAGAGGUCAGACCAUUCAGGUGCCCUCUCUCUUCUGCCAAGAGGCCACCGUGAGGGCUCAGAAAUUCUCCCGUGUCACAAAUAGCCUUGCUUUCUUUUCCAGGAUGAAUUUCCACCCUAAAGUAAAUAAGCCAUAACCUUCUCUUUUGCCCUCGUUUCAAGGUGACGGUCCAUUGCUAGUAGCAGAAACACCUCGACGCGCCUUGGAAAGUUUAUCAGGAUGUGCCAGGUUAGGCUGACUAAGGAGCGGGCUCUGCUUCUCCGCAGUGCACAGGCAGGGGACACCUCAGGCUCUGAGCGAGUAAACGCACCUCCUAACCUACCCGAUACCGCCCACACGCGCCCCCCAGCCCCCCAGCCCCUCCACACCGCCACAGGCAUCCCCGCGGGAGCUCAGGUGUCAGACUUCAGGACACCUGUUUUACCGCCACGCAGGGCGUCACUUCGCAAAGGGAACAGGAAACACAUGCUCUUCGCCCCUGUGUCCAUAAAGCACAGGAACAGGCAGGGAUUCAGGGC